GGGGAAUAUUGGACAAUGGGCGCAAGCCUGAUCCAGCAACGCCGCGUGGAGGAUGAAGGUCUUCGGAUCGUAAACUCCUGUCAGACGGGACGAAGGUAGCAGGGUAAACAAUCCUGUUGCUUGACGGUACCGUCAGAGGAAGCCCCGGCUAACUCCGUGCCAGCAGCCGCGGUAAUACGGAGGGGGCAAGCGUUAUUCGGAAUUAUUGGGCGUAAAGGGCGCGUAGGCGGCUUGACAAGUCAAAGGUGAAAUCCCUCGGCUCAACUGAGGAACUGCCUUUGAAACUGUCUGGCUUGAGGCCGGGAGAGGGUAGCGGAAUUCCCAGUGUAGCGGUGAAAUGCGUAGAUAUUGGGAGGAACACCAGUGGCGAAGGCGGCUACCUGGACCGGUUCUGACGCUGAGGCGCGAAAGCGUGGGUAGCAAAC
RNAcentral lists this ribosomal RNA (425 nucleotides) under uncultured bacterium. RNAcentral describes it as "bacterial SSU rRNA". It matches the Rfam family "Bacterial small subunit ribosomal RNA", at positions 356 to 773 of the family's 1533-position model. The record is from RNAcentral.